RNAcentral lists this ribosomal RNA (440 nucleotides) under uncultured bacterium. RNAcentral's name for it is "partial 16S ribosomal RNA". It matches the Rfam family "Bacterial small subunit ribosomal RNA", at positions 338 to 795 of the family's 1533-position model. The record is from RNAcentral.
CCUACGGGUGGCAGCAGUGGGGGAUAUUGCACAAUGGGGGAAACCCUGAUGCAGCAACGCCGCGUGAGGGAAGAAGGAUUUCGGGAUGGUAAACUCUAUCAGCAGGGAAGAGAAUUGCGGUAUCUAUCUAAGAAUGCCCGGCUAACUACGUGCCAGCAGCCGCGGUAAUACGUAAGGAGCGGGCGUUAUCCGGAUUUACUGGGUGUAAAGGGAGCGGAGACGGGUGGUUAAGUCUGAAGUGAAAGCCAGGGGCUUAACCCUGGAACGGCAUUGGAAACUGAGAACCUAGAGUGCUGGAGAGGUAAGCGGAAUUCCUAGUGUAGCGGUGAAAUGCGUAGAUAUUAGGAGGAACACCAGUGGCGAAGGCGGCCUGCUGGACUGUAACUGACGCUGAGGCUCGAAAGUGUGGGGAGCAAACAGGAUUAGAUACCCCAGUAGUC